Catharus ustulatus (Swainson's thrush) is the source of this 1709-nucleotide long non-coding RNA. RefSeq lists it as uncharacterized. The record is from RefSeq and is a predicted model, not a curated record. NCBI's taxonomy places the organism in Eukaryota, Metazoa, Chordata, Aves, Passeriformes, Turdidae. The transcript has 6 exons.
CAAUGCAUUUUGAUGUUGAUGGCUAUGCAGCAAGUCUGGCAGGUCUGAAAUACCGAGCAGAACCCAAUCCUGUAUUUAACAACAUUAUCAAACAUUCCCUGAAGUGUGGUAGAAGGCAGGAAGAAUGACACUUGCUAAUUUGAAUUUCAGAAAGCACCUAAACUUCAUUCUGAUCUCCAGGCUCUGGGACUUUCUCCAGCUGGUUCAUGAAUUGUAUUGACAUGAGAUAACCUGCAGUGGUCACAGGGAUCCAGGGCAGCGUGUGAUUUCUGCUACAACUCUGUGAGGUGCUCCCUGUCUUCCUUCAUUCAUCCACUCGCUCCUGCCCAGGACUGUGCCUUCUAGCAACAUGACACCUGAGAGCAGACCUAUAGGCAGAGCCACAACAUUCCUGUCAAUGGUACUUCUGAGUGGGACAGUCCAAGGACAUCUUUACCAAACCCAGGGGAUAGCACAAGAAAUAGAAAAACGAGGUGACACCAGAAUAAAGGGGAGGCAAACACGACUUUCAGGUUGAGCUUUCAGAAUUUCAUUCUCCUCUUGGUCUUGUGAGGCCGUGCAGCACUCAGCACAGGUCAAGGUCUAAAUGGCACAUUGGUACCCCAGGUGUUCUGCUUGGGUAUUAAAAGACUUAACAAAGCAAGAAUAAAAGACAAUUAUUAUCACAGAGAAGCUGUCUAAUCUGCAUUUCAGUAGAGUUUUUUUUCUCUAAAAGUGAAAUAAUCUGAUCAAAAGAAGAACAAAAAAAUUACUUUGUAUAGAUUACUGAAUUAUACAUAGAUAUACUGAAUUAUUAGGACAUGAAGGGAAAACAAUUCUGCCAUUACAGUAGGCAGAGCAGAGCUUGUCAAAAAGAUAAGGCCAAAAUAAGCUAAAUAUUGUUUCUUUAAGAUUCAAGAACAGGGUUUAUAGCAUUGCAAUGUUUGUGAUUAAUGAGGUAGAAAACAGAUGCUCUAUCAGUGGAGAUAAUAUCAUCAACGUUCUGAGUAAGGAAUAGUUUAUUAUUUCACAAAAGCUUCGUGCCCUUCUGGCCUUGCUUAGGGACUUGGCAGGAUAUGAAAUGAAGAUGAAUGAUAGUUUAAACAGAGUUCACUCUUCCUCACAAGACCUUAUUAGUAAAAUAGGAAUACAGAACAUUGGCUUGCAAGAUUAGUAACAUGUGAAGCACCUCUGUAAUAUACUUUCUUUUUUUUAAAUAAUUGAUUAAGAACAUGUAGGACAGAUCUCAUUAUCAAGGUCUAUUGAUUUUUCUACUCACUGCCUGUUGCUAAAUCAUUUUCCAAUUAUACAAUAAUGUUGUAAGUAUAGAGGACAGAUCUGGGUGGAAGUCUUAAUAAUUCAAUGAGCAGAGCAGGUUUUUUAAGUAGAGAAAGACAGGGAGGUGAUGUGGAACUUGAGCAGAAUGGCUGAUCUAAGUAGCACUGUGAACACUCAGCCUCUCAAAGGAAGCACCAUGGAAAGGUUUAUGUUUAAAGGAGGGUUACCAGAAAACUGGUUUGCCAUAUUGAAAAUUUGUAAGAACAGAAAAGCUGUUUAGUGUUUCUGACAAGAUAGAGGUACUUUUUGAAUCCUUAGACUAUAGGGAAAAAACUUCACUGUUAAGAAUCAAGUAUAAUAAUAAAGGGAAUAGAUCGCAGCAGCCUAGAUACUUGGUCAUUGACAAUUACUGUGUACAUAAAUACUUCUGUAAUUUUUAACAACACUUUUUA